AUGAUCAUGCCUAGAUAUUCUCAUAACUAUGCACUUUUCUAUCAAUUGCUCAACAGUAAUUUGUUCACCCACCGUAAUACUUAUGCUAUCUUGAGAGAAGCCACUAGUGAAACCUAUGGCCCCCAGGUCUAUUUUCCAUCAUAUAAGUUUCUGAUCUACUUUAUUUUGCAAUCUUUACUUUCCAAUCUAUAUCAUAAAAUUACCAAAAAUAUUAUCUUAUUAUUAUCUCUAUCAGAUCUCACUUUUGCAAGUGGCCGUGAAGGGAUUGACAACCCCUUUAUAACGUUGGUUGUGAGGUUCUUAUUUGUUUGUGUAGGUACGAGGGAUUUGUGUGUAACCUCCUACUGGAUUGAUACCUUGGUUCUCAAAAACUGA
RNAcentral lists this ribosomal RNA (375 nucleotides) under Triticum aestivum (bread wheat). Its description in RNAcentral is "partial small subunit ribosomal RNA". The record is from RNAcentral. Lineage: Eukaryota; Viridiplantae; Streptophyta; Magnoliopsida; Poales; Poaceae.